AGUUGGAAACUUUGUUAACUGUACGAAGAAAACAUAUUAUCAGCAUGAAUUAUAAAGUCCUCCAGUGACACUGAUUUAAAACUGACAAUAUAUCUAGUCGCUGCCGAGGUCGCUUAUGAUUUUAAAUCAAAGGUUGUUAUGUUUCGGAGCAUGACGACCUGGGUACCCUAGAGAGGUAUGUUUUAAAACCUCCGAGUCUGAAACUUAUACCUUGAACAGCCGUUUUGUUAUGGCGUGGAAAAGCAGAAAUAACAAGAUAUUUUAUAUAAUGUGGUUCUGUCUAGGGUUACCUUUCAUACUUCCACGACCCAGCGAGAGUUGCGAACCGAAGAAAUGCGAAGAACCGCGGGAAAACGGAUGCAUAAUCUGUGUAAAUCAUGAAAAUGUUAAUAGCUGCUCCUUAAAAUGCAAAAAAGCUUCAGACGAAGCGAUUGAAACGAUCCUUCGGUGUGUUCAGAAAAAUAACUCCUGCGAAAUCACGGAGCUCAGCCUGGAAGGCAGAAAUUCUGUAAAAUCACUUGAGAAGUUUUGCGAAGUCGUGCCUGGUGUGAAAAAGUUACAAUUAAUUAAUGUAGAUGGAGCGAAAAUCGGCACUGGUGUCAAAGAGUUAAACCUGUCAAAUCUCAACUAUUUAUUUAUUAGGGGCAGUCUAUUAGAUAGAAUAAACGGUGAUUUAUUUGAAAACAUGAGAAAUUUGAAAAUCCUAGAUUUGCUGGACGGCAACAUCUCCUUCGUCGACGACGACGCUUUUCGGCUGUUAAAUAACUCACUAAUGUCUCUGAGUUUAGAAGGAAACGCGCUGAAAGGAAUCCCAGAAGCUGUGAACAACCUAGCAAACGUACGAACCAUGUCAUUAAAAAGUAACAAGAUAUUCGAACUUCGCUCCCAGGUGACCUUGCCAAACUUGAAACAACUCAUAUUGAGUCAUAACAACAUAUGGAAAAUACAUUCUGUGGGCAAUUUCGAAAAACUUGAAACUUUAAAUCUUGAAUUUAACAAAAUCGUCUACGUCGAUAAACGUAUGCUAUUCAACACCGGUCAGCUGAAGACGCUAUAUAUAAAUAACAACGAAAUACAUACACUUUCCCCAACCUUCUGCACCAAAACUUUAAAUAAACUUUACAGUCAGAAUAACCUUAUAACUAACAUUAAGUCUACAUUUUCUGCACGCUGUUCAAACGUACAAUUCUUAGACAUUUCUAACAACUCUUUAGGAGAACUGAGAACAUCAGCUCUUCCCUGCGGAUCCCUAAAAACGUUAAAGUCGUCGCAUAAUUCCAUAUGUAAUAUUCAAGAAGGACUUUUUUCUAAGUGUUACAAUCUCACCAUUCUUGAGUUGCAGAAAAACAACAUCAGUUAUAUUCCCAGAGAAAGCUUUCCGGAGAAACUACAGUUUACAAACUUGACAAUUACAGGAAACCCAUUUGAAUGCACUUGUUCUCUCGACUGGAUCAAACAGUAUUUGAUUCAAAUCAAUCAACUUAACGACACCGGCAAUUGCACCAACUACAACAACAUGCAGUUUUCUCAAGUUGAAUUCUGUCAAAGAAACACAACUCUAAACGAUAUUAGUACUGAAGAGAUGCAGUUAUCCACCACGAUAGGUAACCUGGUAACCACGGACACCCUGGUGGUUACUUCUGGAGGAACUACCCAGUGGGAUCCUUCAAGUAGCACCCAUGUAACAACAGAGUCGGAUCCUUCAAGUAGCACCCAUGUAACAACAAAGUCGGGUCCUUCAAGUAGUACUCAUGUAACAACAAAGUCGGAUCCUUCAAGUAGCACCCAUGUAACAACAAAGUCGGAUCCUUCAAGUAGCACCCAGAAACCCGUGAGCCUUAACUUGUCGGUAGAAAGUAUUUCAGAUCGAGAGUUAUUCGUUAAAUGGAACCCAAAAUACUUUAGCGUAAGUAGUCAUCGAGUUGAGAAAAAGGUUAAAAUCUACUACGGAAACACUUUAACAGACGAUGUGUAUUUCCAAACCGAGGAGGAGCAAACUGGGAAUUCGACGAUUCGUAAUCUUCAGGAAAACACAGAUUAUUACGUCUGUAUUUUAACAGAUGGACACUGGGACAAAGAUUGUAUUUGUGUGCCUAGUUUUUCUGCCGAAAGAAACUGUGUGGUCAAAGAUACGAAACACAAACCGGAAAAUACAGCUCUCCUGGCAAUGAAACACAUUUCUUACUGUGUAGCUAUCGCCGCGAUGGGUUUUCUUGGGGCUGUUGGAUUAAGAUACUCUUCGCGAAAAGUCCGAGACCAUUUCAAGAUUGUUAGCUACAUAAUGGAAUACACUUCAAAAUGGUCUAAAAAUGCAUCAAAAAAAUCAUGAAACAAUUCACUAGUUUCAUUGUUGUUGUUUUUUUACCUCUCAAGCCGUCACAGAAUAAAAGGUCGUAUUUAACAAUAAGCCAAAUGUUCCUAGACUCACAAUGAGAUUGAUUUUUUUUUCUCAAAGUCUGUAUAAAUGUUCUAGUGUGUAUAUAUAUAAUGUUCAAAGUCGUUUCUUUUCGAUUCUCAUACCAGGAAAGUACGAGAAACGUAUUAGAACUUUCAAUCUGAAGUUGAUUAAAUUGCCGAAUCAGAGACCAGAUAGUUUGUAGCUAGUCAGAAACAUCAACAAGUUAACGUGUUAAAUACGAAUCUUUAUUAACCAUCCGUAUGAUCAUUUGAAAUACGUGUGUCAAACAGGCCGUACUUAAAUAAAAUAAUACUUUGAUUUACAUAAGUUAUGUCCAACAUAUCAAAUAAUAUAGAUUAUACUUUUAUACAUAAUGUAAUACAAGAAGUUCACUACGUUAUAUUAAAUCCUUUGAUUGCGGCUGUUUUAAACGCGUGUGGAAUUUUUGCGAGCCGUACACCGUAUACAGCACACUCGGAUUCAACUGCCGACAGUACUCUAUACGGCGAAUCAGCAGUCAAUGGGUUGAUAAGAUUUUGAAUAUGCAAAUCAAAAAGUCACGUGAAAAGCGUAGCUAGGAUAAAGUUGUGGUGGAACGGAAUGUAUAAGAACUGCUACAAAUCGUGGUUUACCAAUAUGGCGUCUUGUAACAGGUGAUAAUUCACGAACACUAACGUCGCUACCAAAACCCAUCAAGAAGGAUAUCCGUUCGGAAGUGAGGGCAAGAUAAGACUUCUAGUCUCAUAGCAUAUCUCGAGCAGUUGGAGAACGAAACAAAGUUGGCUGGGAGUUUCUGUGCUGUCGGACUUUGGAAACGUAUACCAGUAAAUCGUCAUAUCUGGCAUGACCAGACGUGGCGACGUGGACUGUAACGACUUGGCAAGACUCCAAAAUCGUUUUUAUAUAAGGAAACCCAUUUGAAUGCACUUGUUCUCUCGACUGGAUCAAACAGUAUUUGAUUCAAAUCAAU
This is an RNA transcript of Limulus polyphemus (Atlantic horseshoe crab), 3368 nucleotides long. It is a transcript of the gene named leucine-rich repeat and fibronectin type-III domain-containing protein 5-like, with no coding region annotated. The transcript is spliced from 4 exons. Lineage: Eukaryota; Metazoa; Arthropoda; Merostomata; Xiphosura; Limulidae. The record is from RefSeq and is a predicted model, not a curated record.